RNAcentral lists this ribosomal RNA (820 nucleotides) under uncultured eukaryote. RNAcentral's name for it is "SSU rRNA". It matches the Rfam family "Eukaryotic small subunit ribosomal RNA", at positions 629 to 1426 of the family's 1831-position model. The record is from RNAcentral.
CGGUGUUUAACUGGCGUGAUGUGGGACGUCCUACCGGUGGGCUUAGCCUCGCGAGGGGCGGCCCAACUAAUAUCCCGUCGCGGUGCUCUUUACUGAGUGUCGAGUCGGGCCGGGUACGUUUACUUUGAACAAAUUAGAGUGCUUAAAGCAGGCUAUCCUCGCCUGAAUACUGCGUGCAUGGAAUAAUGGAAUAGGACCUCGGUUCUAUUUUGUUGGUUUUCGGAACCCCGAGGUAAUGAUUAAUAGGGACAGAUGGGGGCAUUCGUAUUGCGACGUUAGAGGUGAAAUUCUUGGAUCGUCGCAAGACGGACAGAAGCGAAAGCAUUUGCCAAAAAUGUUUUCAUUAAUCAAGAACGAAAGUUAGAGGUUCGAAGGCGAUCAGAUACCGCCCUAGUUCUAACCAUAAACGAUGCCAGCUAGCGAUCCGCCGAAGUUCCUCCGAUGACUCGGCGGGCAGCUUCCGGGAAACCAAAGCUUUUGGGUUCCGGGGGAAGUAUGGUUGCAAAGCUGAAACUUAAAGGAAUUGACGGAAGGGCACCACCAGGAGUGGAGCCUGCGGCUUAAUUUGACUCAACACGGGAAACCUCACCAGGCCCAGACACCGGAAGGAUUGACAGAUUGAUAGCUCUUUCUUGAUUCGGUGGGUGGUGGUGCAUGGCCGUUCUUAGUUGGUGGAGCGAUUUGUCUGGUUAAUUCCGAUAACGAACGAGACUCUAGCCUGCUAAAUAGGCGUACCUUAUGGUAUCGCGAAGGCCCCCGGCUUCGGCCGGUGGGUUUUUACUACCAACGUACAAACAAAUCUUCUUAGAGGGACAGGCGG